AUACUUAAGCCGAUUUGAGAUGCGAGGCAGGGUUUAGGAGUCUCUGAGAAGCCCAGCUGUGUCCGCCGAGGGGCGCGUGCCUGACCUCUGGGCGACCUUCCUUGCCUCCAAACAGACAUCCUUUAGCCAUUAUACCCCUCUUCUUAUUUCUCUUCGCCGUCAAGAGAUUUCAGUUUUUAGCCGGGCAUGGUGGCUUCUGCCUGUAAUUCCCGCACUUUCGGAGGCCGAGGCUGGAGGAUCACUUGAGACCAGGAAUUCGAGACUAGCCUGAGCAACAUAGCGAAACUUCAUCUCAACGAACACAAACAAACAAACAAAACCAACCCAAAAUUAGCCAGGGGUGGUGGUGCACGCCUGUAGUCUCAACUACUCAGGAGGCUGAGGCAGGAGGAUCUCUUGAGCCCAAGAGGUGGAGGCUGCUGGGAGCUCUGAUCGUGCCUCUGCCCUCCAUCCUGGUGAUAGAGAUACAGGAUCAACAGGUUCGUAUGCCUGCUGUGCAGUAACAAACCCAUUACACGAAGACAGCAGAGUUUGCAGCAGGGAACGGGUUAAAUGAUUGCAGGGCACCUAGCAAAGAGGUGGGAAGAGAUCCUCAGAUCCAUCUUCCCAAGAGUUCUGGGCUGAGGUUUUUAAGAGGAUCACAGGGCGAGGGGCUGGAAAAUUGGGGUCGUUGAUUGGUCGGAGUAAGGGAGAUGAAAUCAUGAGGAUAGGGAAACUGCAUUCUUUGCUGAAUCAGUUUCUUAUGGGGUUCCUCAGACCAGCUGGCAUCAGUGGGAUCCUUCAGGCCAGCUGAGGCAGUAGUUUCAUUGGUAUGCAGGACCUGAAAGACUAUCUCAAAGGGAAAACUUAGUAUUUCAUAAUGUUCAAGUUGUUCUCUAUAGAGCUAUCGAAGAGAACUAUGAUCUUGUGACAGGGUCUGCAUGAUGUUAGGACGAUAGGCACCAAACAACUGUGGGCAAGGAGGUCAGAGAGGAAGCUGACCUCAUGAGUAAUGCCCAAUUGGCAGCACGUUUGGUUUAUUUUUGUCCCCUCCCCCAUACUUUCUUCCCUGAUUACUUUCAUAAAGUUUAUUGGGAUGGUUUUAGAAUGAGGGGAAAAAAAGAAAUUUAGAGUUAAAACUUCAAAUUCCUUACCUGGGCCUAGCUCAAUGUGGCCCUACCCACCUCUGCAACCUCAAACCACCCUCACUUCUGGCUGCUCUCUCGCCAGACAGGGCUCAGAGACUUUGGAGGGCCCCCUUUCUUUGCCUGGAACACUGUUUCCCCAGACCUCUGCAUAGGCCUGCCCUUUGUCUCUUAAAUCUCUGCUUGGGCUGGGCGCUACACCUGAUCUAUCUAGUUGACUGCUUUGAACAAUGCCCAGCACACAGUAGGACCCAGUAAAUACUUCUCGAAUGAAUCAAAGUCCCUUUUCUCAAUGCAUGACAAGCAUUUAAAUUAGUGGUUCACAAAGACUGAUCUGGAUCCCUACAGGGGGCCCACAAGGUCAAACUAUAUUCAUAAUAAUGUGAAGACAUUAUUUGCCUUUUUAACUCUCAUUUGUGUAUAGUGGAGUUUUCCAGAGGCUAUAUGAGAUUUAUUGUUGUUGUUGUCUUAAAGGGGCUCAUUCUGUCACCCAGGCUGGAGUAUAGUAGUGUGAUCAUAGCCCACUGUAAUCUCAAGCUCCUGGGCUUCAGUGAUACUCCCACCUCAGCCUCCUGAGUAGCUGGGACUACAGGCAUAAAUAAUUUUUUAUUUCAUUUUAUUUGUAGAGACAGGGUCUCUCUGUGUUUCCCUGGUUGGUCUCGAACUCGUAGCCUCAAGUGAUCCUCCUGCUUUAGCCUCCCAAAGCACUGGGAUUAUAGGCAUGAGACACCAUACCCA
This is a long non-coding RNA of Macaca mulatta (Rhesus monkey), 1862 nucleotides long. NCBI's taxonomy places the organism in Eukaryota, Metazoa, Chordata, Mammalia, Primates, Cercopithecidae. The record is from Ensembl.